RNAcentral lists this ribosomal RNA (492 nucleotides) under uncultured bacterium. RNAcentral's name for it is "partial 16S ribosomal RNA". It matches the Rfam family "Bacterial small subunit ribosomal RNA", at positions 29 to 507 of the family's 1533-position model. The record is from RNAcentral.
AGUGAACGCUGGCGGUAGGCCUAACACAUGCAAGUCGAACGGCAGCACAGUAAGAGCUUGCUCUUACGGGUGGCGAGUGGCGGACGGGUGAGGAAUACAUCGGAAUCUACUUUUUCGUGGGGGCUAACGUAGGGAAACUUACGCUAAUACCGCAUACGACCUACGGGUGAAAGCAGGGGAUCUUCGGACCUUGCGCGAUUGAAUGAGCCGAUGUCGGAUUAGCUAGUUGGCGGGGUAAAGGCCCACCAAGGCGACGAUCCGUAGCUGGUCUGAGAGGAUGAUCAGCCACACUGGAACUGAGCCACGGUCCAGACUCCUACGGGAGGCAGCGGUGGGGAAUAUUGGACAAUGGGCGCAAGCCUGAUCCAGCCAUACCGCGUGGGUGAAGAAGGCCUUCGGGUUGUAAAGCCCUUUUGUUGGGAAAGAAAAGCAGCAGGUUAAUACCCCGCUGUUCUGACGGUACCCAAAGAAUAAGCACCGGCUAACUUCGUG